GCAAACUUGGUCAUUUAGAGGAAGUAAAAGUCGUAACAAGGUCUCCGUUGGUGAACCAGCGGAGGGAUCAUUAGCGAGUUAAUUAUAAACUCCAAACCCAUGUGAACAUACCUAUCGUUUCCUCUGCAGGUCGUGUUACCCGGUACCUACCCUGGAGUAGGUGCCCUGUAGCACAUGGCCAGGCCUGCAAGAGGACCCCUAAACUCUUUUUAUUUUGGAAAUCUGAGGGCUAUACAAAUAAGUUAAAACUUUCAACAACGGAUCUCUUGGUUCUGGCAUCGAUGAAGAACGCAGC
RNAcentral lists this unclassified non-coding RNA (295 nucleotides) under uncultured fungus. RNAcentral's name for it is "partial contains small subunit ribosomal RNA, internal transcribed spacer 1, and 5.8S ribosomal RNA". The stretch from base 1 to 73 matches the Rfam family "Eukaryotic small subunit ribosomal RNA", at positions 1759 to 1831 of the family's 1831-position model. Lineage: Eukaryota; Fungi. The record is from RNAcentral.